Ipomoea nil (Japanese morning glory) is the source of this 1330-nucleotide long non-coding RNA. RefSeq lists it as uncharacterized. Lineage: Eukaryota; Viridiplantae; Streptophyta; Magnoliopsida; Solanales; Convolvulaceae. The transcript has 3 exons. The record is from RefSeq and is a predicted model, not a curated record.
CUUUCACAGUAUAAUAUAUACUAUUAUAGACUUGAUGACACUUUAUAAUUUUGCUCCCUACAUACUUUUGACAUAGUAUGUGACUACAUUCUCUUCUUAAGUAAUUACUGUUUCUUGUAAGUAUAAAGUGUAGAGUUAGAUAUCUAUUUCAAUUUUCAAGAUUCUUCUCCUCUAAUUAUUUGAGUCGUCUUCCUUAGCUCGCCAAUGUUCUCCUCUGCAACUGAGAUCAGAAACUUGGUUCAAUUUGAUCUCUGUCAGCUGGACAUGUUCUAUAGAUGGAUCAAGGCUUGUUUUUACAUUCUCAUAUAUUGGUACUCUUUAUAGUUAGUAUGAGUUCUCUCAAUCAAGAAGAAAUUCAAGAAAACUGCAUCAAUACAGAACCUGGGAGAACAGAUACUCACCAUGCUCGGAAUCUAAAAGCUAAGUUUGAUUAAACCUAUUUUAAUCAUUACCUACUACAUAUGCCAGUAAUUACAUUUCCAGAUCUAUGUUUAAUUUAGAUCCUUAAUUUCUAAACAGUUAAGAAUUUUUUAUUGUCUAUAAAUCUUGGGUUUUUUCUAAUUGCAUGUGUGAUUUAAACUACAUUUUCCUCAUAUCUAUGCCAACGAUUACAUUUCCAGAUCUGUGUUUAAUUUAGGUCCUCAAUAUCUAGAGGGUUAUCCUGUUGUCUAUAAAUCUUUGGUUUUUUCUAAUCGCAUGUGUGAUUUAAACUACAUUUUCCUAAUAUUUAUACCAGCAAUUACAUUUCCAGAUCUGUGCUUAAUUUAGGUCCUUAAUAUCUAAACAGUUAAGAAUUUCUGAUUGUCUAUAAAUCUUGGGUUUUUUCUAAUCGCAUGUGUGAUUUAAACUACAUUUUCCUCAUAUCUUCAAAAUAGAUAGAUGCAUGUUUGAUAUAUCAUCAAAUCUGAGACUUUAAAUUAGUAUUAGCUUCUCCAUUCCAUGAUUUUUAACUUUGAUUGUAGUUCAUAGUUGUUUUCCGAGAGAUUUGUGCGAUUCUAGAUGAUUCAUUUUAGAAUCGCAGUUGGCUUUCUUUUUUAUUUUUUGUUUUUACUACUAUAUAUUGAUAUAUUGACACAUAUCCUACGAAUUUCUAAAUUGGUUUUUGAACUACAUCCCCAGCUUAGAGAUGGAAGAAGGAACAGAUUCAUCCACAAUUGGGAGUAGGUGUUUCACACUAGUUUGCAGUAUGAGUUAACACAUUCAUUCGCUAUUCAAUGAAAAUUAGAAGUGGAAGGCUUACCCGCUAUUAUAUCCGCAAAUGAGAUCCCCUUAUUCAGUAGUCCUGCCAAAGCUCCUGCUUCUCCCUUAAUUGCAGCCUCAGAGAGCUUAU